GUAGAGAUGGCGACCGGCGCACGGGUGAGUAACACGUAUCCAACCUGCCGAUAACUCGGGGAUAGCCUUUCGAAAGAAAGAUUAAUACCGGAUAGUAUACGAAUAUCGCAUGAUAUUUUUAUUAAAGAAUUUCGGUUAUCGAUGGGGAUGCGUUCCAUUAGUUUGUUGGCGGGGUAACGGCCCACCAAGACUACGAUGGAUAGGGGUUCUGAGAGGAAGGUCCCCCACAUUGGAACUGAGACACGGUCCAAACUCCUACGGGAGGCAGCAGUGAGGAAUAUUGGUCAAUGGACGAGAGUCUGAACCAGCCAAGUAGCGUGAAGGAUGACUGCCCUAUGGGUUGUAAACUUCUUUUAUAUGGGAAUAAAGUAUUCCACGUGUGGAAUUUUGUAUGUACCAUAUGAAUAAGGAUCGGCUAACUCCGUGCCAGCAGCCGCGGUAAUACGGAGGAUCCGAGCGUUAUCCGGAUUUAUUGGGUUUAAAGGGAGCGUAGGUGGAUUGUUAAGUCAGUUGUGAAAGUUUGCGGCUCAACCGUAAAAUUGCAGUUGAAACUGGCAGUCUUGAGUACAGUAGAGGUGGGCGGAA
This 585-nucleotide ribosomal RNA is filed under the name Bacteroides sp. Its description in RNAcentral is "bacterial SSU rRNA". It matches the Rfam family "Bacterial small subunit ribosomal RNA", at positions 82 to 666 of the family's 1533-position model. The record is from RNAcentral. Lineage: Bacteria; Pseudomonadati; Bacteroidota; Bacteroidia; Bacteroidales; Bacteroidaceae.